UACAGAGGGUGCAAGCGUUAAUCGGAGUUACUGGGCGUAAAGGGCGUGUAGGCGGAUAUUUAAGUUAAUUGUGAAAGCCCUGGGCUUAACCUGGGAAUGUCGGUUAAUACUGGAUAUCUAGAGUCUUGGAGAGGGAAGUGGAAUUUCCGGUGUAGCGGUGAAAUGCGUAGAUAUCGGAAAGAACACCAGAGGCGAAGGCG
RNAcentral lists this ribosomal RNA (200 nucleotides) under uncultured bacterium. RNAcentral's name for it is "partial 16S ribosomal RNA". It matches the Rfam family "Bacterial small subunit ribosomal RNA", at positions 524 to 723 of the family's 1533-position model. The record is from RNAcentral.